AAGAGUUUGAGGUUAAUUAGGUUUGGUUUUAUAAUAAAUAAUUAUAAAUUUUUUAUGGUUUUCUUAAAAAGGUUAGAAUCAGAAAAUAAAAUUUACUUAAUAACUUAAAGUAAUUGAUAUAUUUAUAAAAUAAUUUAGCUAAUUUUGUGCCAGCAGCAGCGGUUAGACAAAAAAAACUUUUUUUAAUUCAAUUAUUUUUAAGAUUAAUUAAAAAAGUUUUUUUUUGUAAAGGUGAAAUUUACAAGAAACAUUUAAUUUUCUUUAAAAUAUAAAUUCUUUGGAUAAACUAGGAUUAGAUACCCUACUAUUAAGAGCUUUAAUAUUGUGAGUAUAUAAAAAAUAUGAAAACAUAAAAUUAUGGCGGUACUUUAAGCUUUUCAGAGGAAUUUGCUCUUUAAUGGAUAAAACGCCUUAACCUUACUAUAAUUUGUUAUUGCAGUUUGUAUACCACUAUAAAAGUAAUAGUUAAUAACUAUUUCUUAAAUUUUUAUUAAAAAAAAUAAAUUAAGUCAUGGUGCAGCAAAAAUUUUAGUAUGAAGUGAAUUACAUUUCUUUUAAGAAAGUUUUAAUUGAAAUUAAUAACUAAGGAUUUGAAAGUAAAAAUUCAAUAAAAUGGAAUUUUGAAUUAAGUUCUGAAGUAUGUACAUUAACCGAUAGACAGGAGUUGCGCAAAAAAAAUCUUUUUUUCAAUUUGGCAAAGAAAUGCAAU
This 709-nucleotide ribosomal RNA is filed under the name Amblyomma tholloni. RNAcentral describes it as "12S ribosomal RNA". Lineage: Eukaryota; Metazoa; Arthropoda; Arachnida; Ixodida; Ixodidae. The record is from RNAcentral.